CGCACGGGUGAGUAACGCGUAUGCAACCGUACCUAUCAGAGGAGAAUAACCGGCGAAAGUCGGACUAAUACCGCAUAAAACAGGGGCACCGCAUGGUGAUAUUUGUUAAAGAAAUUCGCUGAUAGAUGGGCAUGCGUUCCAUUAGGGUAGUUGGUGAGGUAACGGCUCACCAAGCCGACGAUGGAUAGGGGAACUGAGAGGUUGGUCCCCCACACUGGUACUGAGACACGGACCAGACUCCUACGGGAGGCAGCAGUGAGGAAUAUUGGUCAAUGGGCGGGAGCCUGAACCAGCCAAGUCGCGUGAAGGAAGAAGGAUCUAUGGUUCGUAAACUUCUUUUGCAGGGGAAUAAAGUGCAGGACGUGUCCUGUUUUGUAUGUACCCUGAGAAUAAGGAUCGGCUAACUCCGUGCCAGCCGCCGC
RNAcentral lists this ribosomal RNA (422 nucleotides) under uncultured bacterium. RNAcentral's name for it is "bacterial SSU rRNA". It matches the Rfam family "Bacterial small subunit ribosomal RNA", at positions 99 to 518 of the family's 1533-position model. The record is from RNAcentral.